AUUGCAGAUAUUCGUGAAUCAUCGAAUCUUUGAACGCACAUUGCGCCCUCUGGUAUUCCGGAGGGCAUGCCUGUUUGAGCGUCGUUU
RNAcentral lists this ribosomal RNA (87 nucleotides) under Candida albicans. Its description in RNAcentral is "partial 5.8S ribosomal RNA". It matches the Rfam family "5.8S ribosomal RNA", at positions 71 to 154 of the family's 154-position model. Rfam says of the family: 5.8S ribosomal RNA (5.8S rRNA) is a component of the large subunit of the eukaryotic ribosome. Lineage: Eukaryota; Fungi; Ascomycota; Pichiomycetes; Serinales; Debaryomycetaceae. The record is from RNAcentral. RNAcentral also lists the same sequence under 1 other name.